CCUACGGGAGGCAGCAGUGAGGAAUAUUGGUCAAUGGGCGAGAGCCUGAACCAGCCAAGUCGCGUGAGGGAAGACGGUCCUAUGGAUUGUAAACCUCUUUUGUCGGGGAGCAAAAAGGCCUCGUGAGGCCACAAGUGAGAGUACCCGAAGAAAAAGCAUCGGCUAACUCCGUGCCAGCAGCCGCGGUAAUACGGGGGAUGCGAGCGGUAUUCGGAUUUAGUGGGUGUAAUGGGGGCGUAGGCGGACUGGAAAGUCAGCGGUAACAUCGAGAGGCUCAACCUCGUUCCGCCGUUGAAACUGUCGGUCUUGAGUGGGCGAGAGGGAUGCGGAAUGCGUGGUGUAGCGGUGAAAUGCAUAGAUAUCACGAAGAACUCCGAUUGCGAAGGCAGCUCACUGGACUGCAACUGACACUGAGGCUCGAAAGUGUGGGUAUCAAACAGGAUUAGAUACCCGGGUAGUC
RNAcentral lists this ribosomal RNA (460 nucleotides) under uncultured bacterium. RNAcentral describes it as "partial 16S ribosomal RNA". It matches the Rfam family "Bacterial small subunit ribosomal RNA", at positions 338 to 795 of the family's 1533-position model. The record is from RNAcentral.